GGAGUUUGGUCCGUGUCUCAGUUCCAGUGUGGGGGACCUUCCUCUCAGAACCCCUACCGAUCGUAGCCACGGUGGGCCGUUACCCCGCCGUCAAGCUAAUCGGACGCAUCCCCAUCCCUUAGCGGUGAACCUUUGCUUCAUUUCAGAUGUCCUCUACGAAGAACAUAGGGUAUUAAUCCGAUUUUCACCGGGCUAUGCCCUACUAAGGGGAAGGUUGGAUACGCGUUACUCACCCGUGCGCCGGUCGCCAGCAACAAUAGCAAGCUAUCGUCCUGCUGCCCCUCGACUUGCACUGUGUUAAGCCUGUAGCUAGCGUUCAUC
This 321-nucleotide ribosomal RNA is filed under the name uncultured Prevotella sp. RNAcentral's name for it is "partial 16S ribosomal RNA". The record is from RNAcentral. Lineage: Bacteria; Pseudomonadati; Bacteroidota; Bacteroidia; Bacteroidales; Prevotellaceae.